This is a long non-coding RNA of Macadamia integrifolia, 624 nucleotides long. RefSeq lists it as uncharacterized. NCBI's taxonomy places the organism in Eukaryota, Viridiplantae, Streptophyta, Magnoliopsida, Proteales, Proteaceae. The record is from RefSeq and is a predicted model, not a curated record. The transcript has 2 exons.
ACAAGAACGUGAUCAUCGAAGAAGAAUAAGAAGAAGACGAAACCGCCAUUACAGUUCUUACCCAGUAUUGCACCGAUGCGAAUUUCAGAGGAUUUCUACCCCUACUGGGGUAGAACGUGAUGCAUUACAGUUCUUACAAAUCUCACGUUUGCUCUGUUCUUCACUCAUCUUGAGCUAUUAGUUUAAGUUAAGCCUUUCAUUACGCUUCUCUGUUUCUUUGAGGUUUCCCAUUCUGGUUAUCUCUUUUCAGUUCCUUUCAUGGCUAUUUGGUUUUGAUUUAUCUGUUUUUGGACCAUAUUUUCCUUGCGCUUUGGUUUCUUUCCUUGUAUUUUCCUUUUCCAUUUGUUAACGAAGUCUGCAAUUGUUGAUUUAGGUGCUGGAUUUGCUUCGAAGAGCAAGUAUAUGUUUGGGAAAACAACAAUACAGAUCAAACUCGUUCAAGGAGACUCUGCAGGAACUGUAACUGCAUUUUACAUGUCAUCAGAUGGUCCAAAUCACAACGAAUUCGACUUUGAGUUUCUGGGGAACACAACCGGCGAGCCUUAUCUAGUUCAGACGAACAUAUACGUGAACGGAGUGGGUAACAGAGAGCAGCGUUUGAACCUCUGGUUCGAUCCCACCAAA